Molecule: ribosomal RNA, 164 nt
Filed under: Euphorbia medicaginea
Lineage: Eukaryota; Viridiplantae; Streptophyta; Magnoliopsida; Malpighiales; Euphorbiaceae
Also listed under: 2 other names
Description: 5.8S ribosomal RNA
Rfam family: 5.8S ribosomal RNA
About the family: 5.8S ribosomal RNA (5.8S rRNA) is a component of the large subunit of the eukaryotic ribosome.
Source: RNAcentral
UAAACGACUCUCGGCAACGGAUAUCUCGGCUCUCGCAUCGAUGAAGAACGCAGCGAAAUGCGAUACUUGGUGUGAAUUGCAGGAUCCCGCGAACCAUCGAGUUUUUGAACGCAAGUUGCGCCCGAAGCCUUUUGGCCGAGGGCACGUCUGCCUGGGUGUCACUC